UUCCAGACUCCUACGGGAGGCAGCAGUGAGGAAUAUUGGUCAAUGGACGAGAGUCUGAACCAGCCAAGUAGCGUGAAGGAUGACUGCCCUAUGGGUUGUAAACUUCUUUUAUAAAGGAAUAAAGUGAGGCACGUGUGCCUUUUUGUAUGUAUUUUAUGAAUAAGGAUCGGCUAACUCCGUGCCAGCAGCCGCGGUAAUACGGAGGAUCCGAGCGUUAUCCGGAUUUAUUGGGUUUAAAGGGAGCGUAGAUGGGUUGUUAAGUCAGUUGUGAAAGUUUGCGGCUCAACCGUAAAAUUGCAGUUGAAACUGGCAGUCUUGAGUACAGUAGAGGUGGGCGGAAUUCGUGGUGUAGCGGUGAAAUGCAUAGAUAUCGCGCAGAACUCCGAUUGCGAAGGCAGCGUACCGGCGCCAGACUGACGCUGAGGCGCGAAAGCGUGGGGAUCGAACAGGAUUAGAUACCCCGGUA
Molecule: ribosomal RNA, 466 nt
Filed under: uncultured bacterium
Lineage: Bacteria
Description: bacterial SSU rRNA
Rfam family: Bacterial small subunit ribosomal RNA
Source: RNAcentral